RNAcentral lists this long non-coding RNA (731 nucleotides) under Drosophila guanche. The record is from RNAcentral. Lineage: Eukaryota; Metazoa; Arthropoda; Insecta; Diptera; Drosophilidae.
CAAUAACUUUCGCCUGGCGUCUGAAAUGGUCAACAAAGCCACUUAUCGCACAAGCCUAAGCAGCUACGUACAGUAAGGUACUAUCCAUGAAGACCUGUCAGACUAAUGACUUUGUUUUUGCAGGAACACCUUUAAAAAGAUCUUCGAAGAAGCCGAGGCCAUGGAGUCGUCCACUCAAGGCAGGCUGGACCUCCUACGCAGCGUCAAUGGGUUACCCACAAAACAGGAGCUCAAAAAACUCUUGAAAACUAGUUGAGUUGGUGGCCGCAUUUCGGGUGAACCAAAACUACCCGUUGAACCUACUAAGGUGCCACCAAAUCUGCUGCAGAUCCGUUCAAUCAACAUUAAUGGUCAGGACAUUCAAUUGGACGACUACGGAGAAGUUAUCAUUGCUAACAUCUCAAGCGCUGAGAGCUUCGAGGAUCUAAUCACCAGUAUGGCCGAGACCGAAAAGACGCAGACCUUUGUCGAAGCACCAAAAAGGAGUUUUGGCUGAAGUACCACCUACCCACGGAAUCGGUGCUCUAUCAGAUCAUUCGACAAACACUGAAACACCAUGCGAGCUUGGACCACAAAGAAGUCUCGGAGGCAUUGCCCGAUAUUCUGAGAAGCGUGCGCUGCUAUUUCGCCUCCCGCAGUCCCCUUUGUCCUCCAGAGUUUCUGAAGAAGUGCCCCAAGUGCGUGGGUUACUACAAUGAGGGUACGCGGCAGGUGAAUGAAUCUGAUGUUUG